GAGCCAUGUUAAUUAUGCCUCAAAAUAAAACCCAAGCCAACAACUCAGCUUCUCACUAGCCACAGGGCUGGCGGCUGCCAUGGGCUCAGCACGGAUCCCAGACCACUUGCAUCACUGCAGAAAGUUCUACUGGGCAGCACUGGCUGAGCCAUCACUUCUGCCACAGAGCCAAGAACUUGACACAGUCACCCUCAGAAAAGCAAAGUCAGGCAGACUUGACUCCACCUCCUCCCGGGCCGGGGCUUCCUAUUUCUAGGAGCGACAGCAGUUCUCUGCUGCUGGAGAUGGACAGCCUCAAGGUGCCAGUCCAGGAAACAGUCUUUUAUGCAACAUAUUUCCAUGACAAAAGGAAGCAGUCAUGUGGCUGGUGUCAUCCAGACCAUGGGUUCAGGGGUCUUUUUAUAUUUUUUAAAGAGUAAAUGAGAGGCAAUAACUCCUGCUUUCCCUUCCAUUCAGUUCCUUCAGGGUCCUUGAGCUCCAAGGCAGGUAUGGGAACCAUGCUGUUCUCCCUGCGUCCAGCCCUCUGCCCAGCUCCCAGGAUGGGAAGGGAAGAAAAGACAAUGUCACCUUGUCCCUUAGGAAACACUUGUUCAAAGUUAUGUGUCCACAGCAGGGCAGACUGGAGUGCACGCUGGCCAGGAGAUCUUCCUGACCCAGGGAUCGAACCUGUAUCUCCUGUGGCUCCAGCAUUGGCAGGCGGAUUUUUUACCACUGAGCCACAUGGGACGCCCCCUAUGAAUAAUUGCUCGAUAUUUAUUUGAAGGCAAUGUUUCCAUGGCCCAAACAGAAAAACCAAAACCCCUACAGUUGAGCAGACAAUCCUCUUCAGAAAGCAGACUGUUAAUUGUAUGUGAAAUUUUUUACCACUGUUUUUUCCCCCAAAUUUAUCUAUGUCAAAGAAACCGUAAUAAUGUGCCAUGUUGACAAUACUACUUGAAUUUGGGGGCAACAUAAGAGA
Molecule: long non-coding RNA, 958 nt
Organism: Bos taurus (domestic cattle)
Lineage: Eukaryota; Metazoa; Chordata; Mammalia; Artiodactyla; Bovidae
Source: Ensembl